UAUGUACUCUCUCCGUACUAAAAUUCUCGUCUAAAGUUUGUCUAAAAAUGAAUGUAUCUAAAUACUAAAAAUUACUAGAUACAUUUAUAUCUAAAAAAAUGUAAGACAAUAAUUUUGGGACGAAGGGAGUACAAA
Molecule: non-coding RNA, 135 nt
Organism: Hordeum vulgare subsp. vulgare (domesticated barley)
Lineage: Eukaryota; Viridiplantae; Streptophyta; Magnoliopsida; Poales; Poaceae
Source: Rfam